Molecule: non-coding RNA, 2118 nt
Organism: Oryzias latipes (Japanese medaka)
Lineage: Eukaryota; Metazoa; Chordata; Actinopteri; Beloniformes; Adrianichthyidae
Source: RefSeq, a predicted model, not a curated record
UUCUGUACAUUUGUGUGUGUUUCUGUGUGUGUGCUGCCUUUCUCUCAGUCUUUUUCUUCUGCAGUUUGCAAUCUGCUCUUUUUUUUCCCACGAUGCUUUGCUUCCGCUCCACGUUGGCAGACCUGAAAUCUUCUAAAGCUUCAGAUAUAAAAAUGAACGAUGACCUGCUCCUCCGACGCCAGAACGGAUUUGCUUGAAGUCGGCCUCCUGCGAGAUUCUGGCAGCGUUCUUCACGCAGAAACAUCUGGAAAACGUGUUCUGGACUCGCCUCUCCUGCAGGAAGAUCCGUGCACGGACGCUCAGCUGCAGCCUCCAAACCAGACGGAUGGAAGGUGACGUCACAGCUUAACGACAGAAGAACUGGACCAGAACCGUCUCAGUCCGGGCUCCUGUCAUCGGACACGUCAGGUCGAUGGCAGAACAUCUGUCUGUUGAAUGAGGAGGUGAUGUUCUCCUCGUGUUAUUCAAUAGACCGCACCCAUUAACCGCGGCUCACACAGACCAGAACCAUGUUCCAGAACCAUGUUCCAGAACCAUGUUCCAGGACAGAAACGGACCUACUGAAUGAAUCGGCUCCAUCCUCUUCCAGCAGGAAAAGGUUCUCACGAGAACCUACCUGAUGCUUUUGCACCCUAGUGGUCAUUCCAGGAACUGCACAGAGUUGUUUUCAUGGUGGGUCAUUUCUCUUCGCUGAGGUCCACCUCGUGGUUCUGGCUGAUCCAGUUACAGCAGAAGAACUGGGACUGACCUGAGGCGAACAGAGGAUGAACCUCAGCUGGUGGAUCCGGAUUGGUUCUCAGAUGUUUCCUGAGGAGGAGGCCGAAGGUGAAAGCGAUUAUUCUGGGAUGGAUGGCGAAGCUCUCGGAGCAGCUGUCAGACCUCCAGACGUCUGUGAGCAAUCAGAGCGGCAGUGAUUGACGGGCCGGGUCGGGCUUGUCAGGAGGAAUUAGGUGUGCGGAUGGGAGCAGGAUUCAUGGCGGAGGCCGUUAACGUCAGCGGGAGUUUGGCAGCGGCCCUCUCCACGCCGCUGAUCGCUUCCAGGCCUCACAACUCGUAAACAAGAUCAACGCGGGCUGCGUGUCAGCGAGCCGCAGCGGCGGGAACGCUGACACACGGUUUCAGAACCGGAGACCGGGUCAGAGGGCCUACCAAGACCUGGACGGACAAACCCCUCCUACAAAAGCAACACUCUGUGUGUGUCUGCGGGCUGUUUUGUGUUGUUUUGGAGGCUUUGUGUUCUUCUCAACUCAAGUAGUUGUCCUGAGUUUGUGUUUAGUUUCAUUAAUUUGUGAGUUUCCUUUUCUCUGAGAUCCUUUUUGUGUUAAUAUUGUCUAUUAGUUCUGGUUUUGUGUGUCUGCAGCAGCUGUUUCUGCUUCUGUCAGAGACGACCUUAACCGCCCCGCUAGGCGCUGUGAUGCUCUGUGUGUGUGUUUGUGUUGGUAAAUGUGUUUUUUUGUUGUUGUUUGUACUUCUUUUUUGUAAAUUCCAUGAACCAGCUGUUGGAGGGUCACAGCCAACCUUGAGCAUGCUCAGUGUGGAUCUGUUAGUGUCUCCGUGUUUUUGUGUAGUUCCAGAUGGACGGAACGAUGAUUUAUGAAACUUCUUUUGACCUCCAGUUCUCUCAGAGCGGUUUGCUGUUGGGACCAGGUAACCUCCAUGCUUGAGGUGACGGUUCAGAAAAGGUUCCAGGUCUGGACCGAGUCAGAAGUUGAAGUACCUGGACGUUCACAGGUGAAGGUUUGAUGUAGCGUGAGGUGUGAUGGAUGUGUGCGUCUGCUGUCAUGGUUAUGUGGUUCCGUUUGCUGUGGUGGACAAACAUCCGAGUCUGAAGAGAAGAUCUCGAUGUACCAGCAGGCCUAUGUUCCCACAUCAAGUUGUUUUUGUACACAUUCCUUCUCGUCUCGUUCCGACCUUCACCCUGACCACGACCUGUCCGUCAUUGAUGAACGGUCAAAUGCUGCACAUGGAGGCAGAAACGUUCUUCCUGCGGGCCGCUGCACGGCCAAAGCUGCAUCUUAAGUCCAUUUCAUUUAAGACCAAAUCAUCAGUUUUUGGUUUUAUGGCACCAACGAGUGAACUUCUCCUUUUAAAAUGUCUCAGCUGUAAAAAAAAAAAAAA